RNA transcript from Triticum aestivum (bread wheat), 3759 nucleotides. RefSeq lists it as uncharacterized. The transcript has 4 exons. The record is from RefSeq and is a predicted model, not a curated record. NCBI's taxonomy places the organism in Eukaryota, Viridiplantae, Streptophyta, Magnoliopsida, Poales, Poaceae.
CCCAACCCUAUCAGGCUAUCUCCCUCCCCGAUUUCUCCCCCUCGUCCGCCGCCGCUACAACUCAACGGCGGCCUCCCCCACAGCCGCCGCCACCACCUCUUCUCUCCUCUCCUCACCUUCUCCCCCACCAUCGGCGAACUCGUUCCCUCUUCCUUGCUGCAGAUCGACCAGCAGGUUUGGAUCCUAUGCAGGCUCAGAUCCGACACACCCACAGCGCUGCUUUGGCUUGAGGGCGUCAAGAGCUAGAAGGCGGGUGGUGCCGCGAGCUCUCGUCCCGAGCAAGAUGGAGGAGGACGAGCACAACCUGGAUGAGGUCGCCGUGGGAGACCAUAGGCGAGAGGAAGGAGCCGUCGCUGGUUCCGCGCCCUCGCCCCGAGAGUGGCAGCCUUGCAGGAAAGAGACUCUUGAAGAGUGCUUUUGGUUCGGAAGCUGCAAAAUGGAAAUGUGUUGGAGCUAUUGACAAUUUGACAUCACUUAAUAUCUGUUCAAUUAUAUAUUUGCCUACCCCAGGGAUAUUGAAUGCAACAUUUGGUUCAAGCUUUUGAAAGAAUGGGCAUACAAGUGAUCCUUUUCUUGAUUCUCUAAAGCAUAUUGUUUGAUUGAGCUAGACUUAGAACAUGUCACCAAACCUGAGAUCUAGAACAUGUUGCUACUAGCAGGGCCCAAAAGAAUCAAAAUAAACAUGUACGUUUUUAGUGUUGCUGAUGUAUUGUUCUGCUAGAUGUGUGAUGUGUGUUGCUGCGAGUUUGUGGAUUGGCAGCUUCUUGAUGAUGUGUGCCUGCUGGAAUGGGUUGCAUUGGUAGUCUGUGUUGUGGAUGCAGCAACUGCUUCAUGUUUGUUUUUGUAUCAUGAUGUUCUCUUUUUGGGUGUCUUGGGCGUUGUUUAGGCUGAUGUUUCUUUGUUGGUGCAGAUUUUUCAGAAAUUCUUUGGUGGUGGUGGCACUAUUGUAUGUGGACCGACUAUUGUGGCUUACUGGCUUGUGUUCCAGUUGCCACUGCUCAACAAGGAGAAGAAUGGUAGUUCACCACGUACACGUAAAUGCCUCAUGUGUGGCUCUUUCAAUGCAUUGCUGCUCUCAUCGCAUUUCACCAUUCUUCAUGCUCACACUAUGCAGAAGAUUCUUCCUGUUGGCAUGGGGCUUGAGAGAGAGGAAGAGAUACAUGUCGGCCUCUAUGCACAUUGCGCACAAGGGUUGCUGGUCAGUAUUAGUGUUUAUGCAAGUCCAUUCAUCUUAUCAUUCAAUUAGAUGUGUGUUUUGGAUAUCUUAGGAUUUUCAACAAAAAUAAUUAUGAGAUACUCUGAGUAAUGAGACUUAAAUUCAAUCAUUGAUUUCCCUAUUUCAAAUUCAAUCAUUGAUUUCCCUAUUUUAACUGUAAAAUGUUUAUUUCUUUAGUUAUUAGAAAGUGGGUGAUGUUUAUUUCAUGCCUUAUUUACCGUGGUCUAUCCAUCUCUUUCUUUUGAGCUCGAGAAGUGAAAGGAACUAAAGAAGAUGAUGGUAAUCCUUGGGUCGAUCUGCUGUUUUGCUUUUGUAUUUGAGAACGGCUGAUAGAAUCUUAGGUACUUCAGACUAAUUGAUGCUUCAUUAGGAUAUAACUACUGAUUGGAUGCAUAAGAGAACCGCCGUACUCGGUACUACAUACUUUCUCCAGUUUGAAUAACUUAUCUUAACAAUACAAUAGCUGAAUGAUUUGCUUGUAUGUUUCUCUUUCAGGUUAGAGAGAAAGAUUUUGAUGUGAAUUUUUGGAUAAAAUCCCUGAUUUCUCUUACUUGGAUUAUGCUGAAUCGGAUUUUUUAACAAGGUACUUGAUGGGACACAAAGGUUGUGUGCAUAAUAUUUCGGGUGUGGGCAUGUAACAAAUUCAGUAAGAUUGAUUUAUGUGUACAUAGCUGCUAUAGUUCUCUAAGAUCAAUAUAUUUUCUCACAAAGAAAAUUCUAGGUUUGAAAAAAGGCAAGUGGCAGAUUGUCACCACUUCAGCAACUGCGGCGUAUGUUUUCUCACAAAGAAACUUUAAGGAGGAUGUUCUAGGAACUAUUUGAACCUGCUUGUACGAUAAUGGCUUUUCUUGCCAUUUUGAUCCUGGUACCUGAACUGUUUGUCGCUCUUGCCAGAUUGAUCGUUGCGGAUGAGAUUGACUACUUAAUAACACAAGAACGGACUGUGCUACAUGACCUUUUCAUGCUUACCAACCACCUGUUCUCCAAAUGCAUGUUAAUAGGAAUUGCAAAUGCCAUAGACCCAGCUGAUCGCUUUCUACCAAAGCUUGAAUCCUUGAAUUGUAAGGAUUCUUAUUAUAUUUGCUAUAGUGAAAAUUGAAGGCAUCUCUAGAACAGGCAAAUGAGUCUGCCUUUUGUUCCCGACACUCCUUCAUAUCUUGUGUUCUGCAUUCUUGCGUCUCACUAUGGGAGCAAUAUUUAGUCAAUCCAGCAAUUAGUGAACAUAGCAUUGCGUGCAUUUUUUAGUCAAUCCAAUUUCACAAAGAUUUUAUUUUGUUCCAUUGUUAGCACUACCCAUGUUACAGAGAUGAUCAGAAAGGUAGCUAUCAUGGUAGUAUCUGUGCUCUUUUGUUCUCUCUUUUUUUUGGUCAGAGGUAAUUUGGGUGCACCUCAUGAUCUCUUUGUUCUUCCAAAAAAGCACCGAUGGCUUGGACAAUUUCUGUCAAUAAUUUUGUGCAUCUAUGGUUGCAGGAGGAUGAAUUUGUAUGUUCCCAUGAAAUUACCCGUUUCUUUCUUUGUUACCAUCUUCCAUGAAUAUUUGUUCCGUCUAUCUGUUCUGCUAGCUGAAAUUGAUCUUGUCGGAUAACUGCCUUUACUGCAUCACAAGUUCUAUCAUUCUGAUAGAUUGUUAAAAUAUUUCAUCGUCUUGCUUCAAAUCCUAUUGAUCCACCCCGAAACGCAUGCCCUAAAGCUUCUUACUCUCUAGGAAUCAUUUUUAUCAUAAUCUACAACUAUCAUGCUUCAAAUUAACUACGUUUAUGGUUUAUCAUAAUUUUUUCAUGCUUGACAGGUUUUUCUUUCUUCACAGCUGAUCUGAUAAGUGACAAUACGACUGUACUUUCUUAUUUACAGGUAAUUGAUAUUAUGUACAUUCUAAUUUUCUUCUAUACUCCAGUGCCACUUGCAUAUUUUCUUCCGUCAUGCCAGGAUAUCAUAUAAACUAUUUUCGUGUGACUGUUAUGCGCUAGGGCGAGUCCAGUUAUCCUUAACCAGGCAGUACUUUUUAUGAGAAAGUAUACAUUUUGUUUAGGACAACACCAGGCUAUGGCUUAUAGUAUCUACAUCACUAGAUGCUAACCAAACACUGCAGGUAGGUGAAAUUACCUAGCACCAAUGCUAGGUGAUGUGUGGGUAGGUGCUAAAAAACCCUUGCCACCCAAUCCUAAGCUAAAUACAUUACUCGUGGUUACAUAUAACAAUUUUACUUUAUCUAAAAAAAAUGAGAAGUACUCCCCCAAGUCUCCUCGUUGAUGUCCAACGGACGCCAUGCAACCAAUGGUACUGCCAUCAUGACAACACUCACCUCCAUGCUAAUCGAGGUUUUCGACCUGCCUGAAAUGGACAAGGUCAUUCGGGCAUCUGCUUUUGAUGUGUUAUUUUAUCUUUUUGAUAAGAACUCAAGUGUAGCCAACAUGAUUAAUUUUAUGUUCUAUGCUACCAGUUGUCUGGGCAUCCACUUUUGAUGUACUAUUUGUUCUCUCUUUGUAAGAUCAAUUCUGUGUUAUAAAAACUAUGCUACCGGUUGUUCAUGGUUGUGCACUGAA